CGUAGGGUGCUAGCGUUAUCCGGAAUCACUGGGCGUAAAGCGUGCGUAGGCGGCUUGUUAAGUGAGGUGUUAAACCGUGUGGCUCAACCAUAUCGUUGCAUCUCAUACUGGCAGGCUAGAGGACGGCAGAGGCAAGUGGAAUUGGUAGUGUAGCAGUGAAAUGCGUAGAUAUUACCAGGAACACCAAUGGCGAAGGCAGCUUGCUGGGCCGACCCUGACGCUGAGGUACGAAAGCGUGGGGAGCGAACAGGAUUAGAUACCCUGGUAGUCCACGCCGUAAACGAUGCAUACUAGACGUAUGGGGUAUCGACCCCCUGUGCGUCGCAGCUAACGCGAUAAGUAUGCCGCCUGGGAAGUACGGCCGCAAGGCUA
This 372-nucleotide ribosomal RNA is filed under the name uncultured organism. RNAcentral describes it as "bacterial SSU rRNA". It matches the Rfam family "Bacterial small subunit ribosomal RNA", at positions 526 to 896 of the family's 1533-position model. The record is from RNAcentral.